This is an RNA transcript of Belonocnema kinseyi, 1448 nucleotides long. It is a transcript of the gene named caspase-3-like, with no coding region annotated. NCBI's taxonomy places the organism in Eukaryota, Metazoa, Arthropoda, Insecta, Hymenoptera, Cynipidae. The transcript is spliced from 7 exons. The record is from RefSeq and is a predicted model, not a curated record.
GAGGUUAGGUCGUUUGAAAACUUGAAGGCGUAUAAAGUGUGCAAUUGAAAUCAUUUAUUGAGAAUUUUUGUGAAAAUUACUAUAAGUAAUCAGUGUUGAGAGACUAUUAUCGUUGAAUUUUCCAUCUAUCAAAAUAAUUGAACACUGGCGAACAAAAAUUAUAAAGUGAAACGAUGUACAAAUUAUAUUUAUCUACAUGAGCAUAUUUUGACGCAGUGCAUAUACGCAAACAAGUGAACACCCACUAUAGAUGGAAAUGGAAAGUUGAACAAUUUGUUGUCGGCCUUAAGGAAAAUAAAUUACUCUAAAAAUAAUCAAAUUUAUAGAGAUUUGGAAUAUCUUAAUUACGAUGAUACUCAACGAAAUGUGCAAGAUGCACAGAAUAGUAUGAAUAACAGCUAUUUAAUGGUUGUUGAAAAUUGUCAACAAACCCCAAAAAACGACCCAGCGAAUGGAAAAAAUGAAUUUUAUGAUUUUAAAAGAGGAUUAUGUGUAAUCCUAAAUCAAGAAAAAUUUUCUGAAACAAAAAAUAUUAAACAGAAGUACAAUUUGAGAAAAGGAACCGAAAAAGAUGUAAAUCGACUGAAGUCAACGUUUGAAGAUUUUGGAUUUAAGGUCGAAGUGUCACAUAAUUUAGACCAACCAAAUUUUCUACGUGAAUUAAAAACAAUUGGCGGAUACUCUAAAGAACAGUACGAUUGCAUUCUUGUUACUAUCCUAAGCCACGGGAAAGAAAGAACAGUCGUUACGAGCGAUUGUAAGGAUGUCAAGCUUGAAAAAGUGAGGGAGGAGAUGUGUACUCCCACCUUAAAAGGAGUAGUUAAAAUGGUUGUCGUUCAAGCUUGUCAGGGCGACUUUUUAGGUCGAGAAGAAACGGACGGACCUUCAGGGUUUACAACAAAAUUAAGUGCUGAUCUAGCAUUAGAUGAUCUGCUUAAUGACAGUAACAAUAUCAGAUUCUCAGAUUUCGUGAUGUUCGUAGCGACAAUCGGAAAAUUUCAGAGUGUAAGAAAUACGAAAGAAGGAGCUUGGUUCAUACAGACAAUAUGUGAUGUUUUAAAUGAAUUUGAUGAAAUUGAGUGGAGUGAUUUUACUCGGAAAGUAAAGAAACUAGUUUUUGAGAAAAGAGGAACGGUGUGCGGCAUAGAAAAUGUAGUCCAGGUUCCAGAGAUUCUCCACGAUACUCUCAAAAUGAAAUUUCAAUUUCGGAAGAAGAAAAACGGGGACAGUAUGUAAGUGUCACAUAGUGUGAAACUAGAAAAAAAAUUAAUUACAUGCGAAAAAAACGUUAACUGAAACAACGAAAUAUCACUGAACUUUAACGCUUUAAUACUUUUCGUUUGAAAUGUUCAAAUUUUUAACACUUUUAGUAUUAUAUUUAUUGAAUUCGGAUUUAUUCAAGUUCUGAAGGCUUCAAUUUUAAAAUUUUGAUUUUAAACUUCCACUUU